RNAcentral lists this unclassified non-coding RNA (142 nucleotides) under soil metagenome. RNAcentral's name for it is "partial internal transcribed spacer 1". The record is from RNAcentral.
CCUAGAGUUGUAGGCUUUGCCUGCUAUCUCUUACCCAUGUCUUUUGAGUACCUUACGUUUCCUCGGCGGGUUCGCCCACCGAUUGGACAAACUUAAAACCCUUUGCAGUUGAAAUCAGCGUCUGAAAAAAACUUAAUAGUUA